ACGCUGGCGGCAGGCUUAACACAUGCAAGUCGAGCGCCCCGCAAGGGGAGCGGCAGACGGGUGAGUAACGCGUGGGAAUCUACCCUUUUCUACGGAAUAACGCAGGGAAACUUGUGCUAAUACCGUAUAAGCCCUUCGGGGGAAAGAUUUAUCGGGAAAGGAUGAGCCCGCGUUGGAUUAGCUAGUUGGUGGGGUAAAGGCCUACCAAGGCGACGAUCCAUAGCUGGUCUGAGAGGAUGAUCAGCCACAUUGGGACUGAGACACGGCCCAAACUCCUACGGGAGGCAGCAGUGGGGAAUAUUGGACAAUGGGCGCAAGCCUGAUCCAGCCAUGCCGCGUGAGUGAUGAAGGCCCUAGGGUUGUAAAGCUCUUUCACCGGUGAAGAUAAUGACGGU
This 395-nucleotide ribosomal RNA is filed under the name Sinorhizobium medicae. RNAcentral describes it as "bacterial SSU rRNA". It matches the Rfam family "Bacterial small subunit ribosomal RNA", at positions 33 to 458 of the family's 1533-position model. The record is from RNAcentral. Lineage: Bacteria; Pseudomonadati; Pseudomonadota; Alphaproteobacteria; Hyphomicrobiales; Rhizobiaceae.